AGAGUUUGAUCAUGGCUCAGGACGAACGCUGGCGGCGUGCCUAAUACAUGCAAGUCGAGCGGAUGACGGAGAGCUUGCUCUCCUGAUUCAGCGGCGGACGGGUGAGUAACACGUGGGCAACCUGCCUGUAAGAUCGGGAUAACUCCGGGAAACCGGGGCUAAUACCGGAUGGUUCCUUCCUCCGCAUGGAGGAAGGCGGAAAGACGGUUUCGGCUGUCACUUACAGAUGGGCCCGCGGCGCAUUAGCUAGUUGGUGGGGUAAUGGCCUACCAAGGCAACGAUGCGUAGCCGACCUGAGAGGGUGAUCGGCCACACUGGGACUGAGACACGGCCCAGACUCCUACGGGAGGCAGCAGUAGGGAAUCUUCCGCAAUGGACGAAAGUCUGACGGAGCAACGCCGCGUGAGCGAAGAAGGCCUUCGGGUCGUAAAGCUCUGUUGUAAGGGAAGAACAAGCAUCGGUUAACUGCCGGUGCCCUGACGGUACCUUACCAGAAAGCCACGGCUAACUACGUGCCAGCAGCCGCGGUAAUACGUAGGUGGCAAGCGUUGUCCGGAAUUAUUGGGCGUAAAGCGCGCGCAGGCGGUCCUUUAAGUCUGAUGUGAAAGCCCACGGCUCAACCGUGGAGGGUCAUUGGAAACUGGGGGACUUGAGCGCAGAAGAGGAAAGCGGAAUUCCACGUGUAGCGGUGAAAUGCGUAGAGA
This 704-nucleotide ribosomal RNA is filed under the name uncultured bacterium. RNAcentral's name for it is "bacterial SSU rRNA". It matches the Rfam family "Bacterial small subunit ribosomal RNA", at positions 8 to 696 of the family's 1533-position model. The record is from RNAcentral.